RNAcentral lists this long non-coding RNA (1383 nucleotides) under Sus scrofa (pig). Its description in RNAcentral is "lncRNA (ENSSSCG00015034702.1)". The record is from RNAcentral. Lineage: Eukaryota; Metazoa; Chordata; Mammalia; Artiodactyla; Suidae.
UUUUUUUUUUUUUUUUUUCCUGGACAUGCCCGGGGCAUCCAGAAGUUCCCAGGCCAGGGACUGAGCCCAAGACACAUCAGUGACAACACCACAUCCUUAACCAUUAGGCCACCAGGUAACUCCUCAUUACUUUUUUUAUAAUCAUGGCCCUUCAGUUCCAAGACUAACUUGAAAGCAGAGAGACACCUGUGUGGGGAUCAGUAUUUGGGGAGCUGGUUGCUCAUGUGGUGUCCACCACACCAUGAGAGACCAGCAGCUUUUCCAGUCGGCCCUGACCCAGAGGUGGGGAGACACUUCUCCUGUGGCCUUCUGGUUCUCUCUUUUUCCUCAUAUAACAUCGCUCACUGCGGGGAGGCCGGAGAGGGCUGCAAGAGGGCAUCCAGAAGUUCCCAGGCCAGGGACUGAGCCCCUUGUGCUGGGGAAGGCACAAGCUUCUAGCAGCCCUAUCACUAGGUGGUUUAGGGUGUGAGGGCUGGAACCACCCUCCCUGGUUCAGUUCCACUCUCUGCCACUUGUGUACUCUAUGACCUCCAGGGAGGUAUUUACCUUCUCUAAGCCAGGUUCCUCAUGUGUAACAUAAGAAGGAACACCAUUUCUCACUCUUAGGAUGGUUUUGAGAGUUAAAUCAGGUAAACUGUUAUGUUAGCACCAAGCCCGUCAAACAGGAAGUACUCAAGAGGUAAUCAAUGCUAUCUUGGGUUUAUCUUCUUUCACUAUCCCAAAGACCAGCAGUUCUCAAACUUUUUAGUCUUAUAACCCUUUAAAUUCUUAAAAUUUUUAAAUUCUUGAAAAGUAUAAGGGCCCUAAAGAGAUUAAAGCUUAUAUACAUUUUUUAUAUUUACUUUUUUAUAAGUCAAUUCAAAAAUAUUUGAAUUCUUUUUAAAACGACACCACUAAAUCCAUUAAGGUAAAUAACAUUUCACGAAAAAUAGCUUCAUUUUCCAAAACAAAAAUAUUUCAUAAGAGAAUGGCAUUGCUUUACACUUUGGCAAGUUCCUUUCAUGCCUGGUUAUUUAGAAGACAGCUGAUUUCUCAUAUCUCCUUCUGCGUGUAAUUUGUUCUAAUAUCACACAUCAUGUAGACUCUGAAACAUGCCUUGUCCACUCAUGAGAAAAUGAGCGUGAAAAAGACAAGUAACAACUUAGUGUUGUUAUAAACGUAGUUUUGACCUCAGGGACCCCAGAAAAGGACCUCAGGGUUCCCAGACCACACUUUGAGGUUUGCAGCUGUAACCCACAGCACCAGUCCAGAUAUUCUGCUGUCAAGAUCAGUACAGGAAAGUUACAGGUCGCAAGUCAGCUCAUUGUCAGAAUCUGGGAGGAUUUUUACACACUACGAGCCCGAGGGACCUAGACAUGAAAACCCAAUUGCUGCUGCAGCCAU